GAUGAACGCUGGCGGCGUGCCUAAUACAUGCAAGUCGAGCGAACGGACGAGAAGCUUGCUUCUCUGAUGUUAGCGGCGGACGGGUGAGUAACACGUGGAUAACCUACCUAUAAGACUGGGAUAACUUCGGGAAACCGGAGCUAAUACCGGAUGAUAUUUUGAACCGCAUGGUUCAAAAGUGAAAGACGGUCUUGCUGUCACUUAUAGAUGGAUCCGCGCUGCAUUAGCUAGUUGGUAAGGUAACGGCUUACCAAGGCAACGAUGCGUAGCCGACCUGAGAGGGUGAUCGGCCACACUGGAACUGAGACACGGUCCAGACUCCUACGGGAGGCAGCAGUAGGGAAUCUUCCGCAAUGGGCGAAAGCCUGACGGAGCAACGCCGCGUGAGUGAUGAAGGUCUUCGGAUCGUAAAACUCUGUUAUUAGGGAAGAACAAAUGUGUAAGUAACUGUGCACAUCUUGACGGUACCUAAUCAGAAAGCCACGGCUAACUACGUG
This 497-nucleotide ribosomal RNA is filed under the name uncultured bacterium. RNAcentral describes it as "partial 16S ribosomal RNA". It matches the Rfam family "Bacterial small subunit ribosomal RNA", at positions 28 to 507 of the family's 1533-position model. The record is from RNAcentral.